This 254-nucleotide ribosomal RNA is filed under the name uncultured bacterium. Its description in RNAcentral is "partial 16S ribosomal RNA". It matches the Rfam family "Bacterial small subunit ribosomal RNA", at positions 524 to 776 of the family's 1533-position model. The record is from RNAcentral.
UACGUAGGGUGCGAGCGUUGUCCGGAAUUAUUGGGCGUAAAGAGCUCGUAGGCGGUGUGUCACGUCGGCCGUGAAAACCUGGGGCUUAACUCUGGGCGUGCGGUCGAUACGGGCAUCACUAGAGUUCGGCAGGGGAGACUGGAAUUCCUGGUGUAGCGGUGAAAUGCGCAGAUAUCAGGAGGAACACCGGUGGCGAAGGCGGCGUUCUGGACUGCUACUGACACUGAGGAACGAAAGCCAGGGGAGCAAACGGG